Molecule: ribosomal RNA, 254 nt
Filed under: uncultured bacterium
Lineage: Bacteria
Description: partial 16S ribosomal RNA
Rfam family: Bacterial small subunit ribosomal RNA
Source: RNAcentral
CACGUAGGGGGCGAGCGUUGUCCGGAUUUAUUGGGCGUAAAGAGCUCGUAGGCGGCUCGGUAAGUCGGGUGUGAAACCUCCAGGCUCAACCUGGAGACGCCACUCGAUACUGCCGUGGCUAGAGUCCGGUAGAGGAGCGUAGAAUUCCUGGUGUAGCGGUGAAAUGCGCAGAUAUCAGGAGGAAUACCCGUAGCGAAGGCGGCACUCUGGGCCUUGACUGACGCUGAGGAGCGAAAGCGUGGGUAGCGAACAGG